UACGAAGGGGGCUAGCGUUGUUCGGAAUUACUGGGCGUAAAGGGCUCGUAGGCGGUUUGUCGCGUCGGGAGUGAAAUCCACUGGCUUAACUGGUGGCUUGCUUUCGAUACGGGCAGACUGGAGGUAUGCAGGGGAGAACGGAAUUCCUGGUGUAGCGGUGAAAUGCGCAGAUAUCAGGAGGAACACCGGUGGCGAAGGCGGUUCUCUGGGCAUGUCCUGGCGCUGAGGAGCGAAAGUGUGGGGAGCGAACAGG
This 253-nucleotide ribosomal RNA is filed under the name uncultured bacterium. RNAcentral describes it as "partial 16S ribosomal RNA". It matches the Rfam family "Bacterial small subunit ribosomal RNA", at positions 524 to 776 of the family's 1533-position model. The record is from RNAcentral.